RNAcentral lists this ribosomal RNA (308 nucleotides) under uncultured Psychrilyobacter sp. Its description in RNAcentral is "bacterial SSU rRNA". It matches the Rfam family "Bacterial small subunit ribosomal RNA", at positions 28 to 334 of the family's 1533-position model. Lineage: Bacteria; Fusobacteriati; Fusobacteriota; Fusobacteriia; Fusobacteriales; Fusobacteriaceae. The record is from RNAcentral.
GAUGAACGCUAGCGGCAGGCUUAACACAUGCAAGUCGAGGGGUAACAUUGUGCUUGCACAGAUGACGACCGGCGCACGGGUGCGUAACGCGUAUAGAAUUUGCCCUUCAGACUGGGACAACUAAUCGAAAGGUUAGCUAAUACCGGAUAUUAUGAGACCUUGGCAUCAAGGACUUAUGAAAGCUAUAUGCGCUGGAGGAGAACUUUGCGUUCCAUUAGCUAGUUGGUAGGGUAAUGGCCUACCAAGGCAACGAUGGAUAGCCGGCCUGAGAGGGUGAACGGCCACAAGGGGACUGAGACACGGCCCUU